This 20-nucleotide unclassified non-coding RNA is filed under the name Mus musculus (house mouse). RNAcentral describes it as "oocyte_clustered_small_RNA2555". Lineage: Eukaryota; Metazoa; Chordata; Mammalia; Rodentia; Muridae. The record is from RNAcentral.
UUGAGUGGGUAUAGGCCACU